GCUCAUGUAGCUCAGGGGUAGAGCACUCCCUUGGUAAGGGAGAGGUCGACGGUUCAAUUCCGUCCAUGAGCUCCA
RNAcentral lists this transfer RNA (75 nucleotides) under Halotalea alkalilenta. RNAcentral describes it as "tRNA-Thr". It matches the Rfam family "tRNA". Rfam says of the family: Transfer RNA (tRNA) molecules are approximately 80 nucleotides in length. Their secondary structure includes four short double-helical elements and three loops (D, anti-codon, and T loops). RNAcentral also lists the same sequence under 1 other name. Lineage: Bacteria; Pseudomonadati; Pseudomonadota; Gammaproteobacteria; Oceanospirillales; Halomonadaceae. The record is from RNAcentral.